This 438-nucleotide long non-coding RNA is filed under the name Homo sapiens (human). RNAcentral's name for it is "non-protein coding lnc-CCND2-2:2". Lineage: Eukaryota; Metazoa; Chordata; Mammalia; Primates; Hominidae. The record is from RNAcentral.
GAGCAGGGAAGCCAGGAGGUGUGCUCCGCUUUUGUGCUACUGGCAUAUGAAGAAACUGGGGCUCUGAAUGGCAUAUUAACGCGUGCAGCUCCAGACAGCGAGGAAGUGAUGGCAACUCUAUCCGAACUCAAAUCUGCCAGACCUAUACCAGUAGGUGCCUGUGUGCAGUUGGGGACUCACCUCUGCCAGUGCUGGCAUGAGCUAGCUGUCUUGAACUGAAAACAGACACUCAAAGAUGGGCUGUGGGAUCCCAGAGAGGUGGCAGAAUGGUCAAAGCUAUGAAGCCAACAGCUGCUGCCAACAAGAAAGUCCUGAGCCCUGAGUGAUUGUAAUUUAAACUUAAUGCUGGGAGUGGGUGUUUAUUUUGGAGGAGUGGGCUGCUUAUUUUUGGUUUGGGGACUUGUUCAUUCAUCUUUUCUCAGCGGCGCCUACUGCUGC